This 281-nucleotide long non-coding RNA is filed under the name Glycine max (soybean). RNAcentral's name for it is "long non-coding RNA (GMAX_LNC001284)". Lineage: Eukaryota; Viridiplantae; Streptophyta; Magnoliopsida; Fabales; Fabaceae. The record is from RNAcentral.
GAGUGCAAGGGUUCAACUCCAAUGUCUGUUUCAACAUAGUUUGAAACAACAUUAUUAGACCCUUGCAAUAAAAUGUCAAUGACAAAUUGAAUCACUGCAACAUCUAGAGUCUCUCUUUCUUCUUCAGUUAUUUCUUUUUGCACUAUAGCUGGUUAGAGCUUUGUGUCUCUUUCAACAGACAUUGUAGAAAAUAUUUCAGCACUUGUUUCCAAGGCUGAUUGAACUUUGGCAUCUAACUCUUCCUUUUGCUAUUCGUCUUCAAACACAACAAUGAUAGCAUC